GUUCCCUAAAAGCACUUCACGAGACCUUGGCUUAAUAAAGGGCCCUUGUGAAGUGUUUGGGGGAACUC
This 68-nucleotide microRNA precursor is filed under the name Sorghum bicolor (sorghum). Its description in RNAcentral is "miR395g stem-loop (sbi-MIR395g)". Its record names the gene sbi-MIR395g. The record is from miRBase by way of RNAcentral. Lineage: Eukaryota; Viridiplantae; Streptophyta; Magnoliopsida; Poales; Poaceae.